Molecule: ribosomal RNA, 465 nt
Filed under: uncultured bacterium
Lineage: Bacteria
Description: partial 16S ribosomal RNA
Rfam family: Bacterial small subunit ribosomal RNA
Source: RNAcentral
GACGAACGCUGGCGGCGUGCUUAACACAUGCAAGUCGUACGGUAAGGCCCUUUCGGGGGUCCACGAGUGGCGAACGGGUGAGUAACACGUGAGUAACCUGCCCACAACUUUGGGAUAACGCUAGGAAACUGGUGCUAAUACUGGAUAUGUGCUCCUGCUGCAUGGUGGGGGUUGGAAAGCUCCGGCGGUUGUGGAUGGACUCGCGGCCUAUCAGCUUGUUGGUGGGGUAGUGGCCUACCAAGGCGGCGACGGGUAGCCGGCCGGAGAGGGUGACCGGCCACAUUGGGACCGAGAUACGGCCCAGACUCCUACGGGAGGCAGCAGUGGGGAAUAUUGCACAAUGGGCGCAAGCCUGAUGCAGCAACGCCGCGUGCGGGAUGACGGCCUUCGGGUUGUAAACCGCUUUCAGCAGGGACGAAGCUUUUUGUGACGGUACCUGCAGAAGAAGCACCGGCUAACUACGUG